AACGAACGCUGGCGGCAUGCCUAACACAUGCCAGUCGAACGAGACCUUCGGGUCUAGUGGCGCACGGGUGCGUAACGCGUGGGAACCUGCCCUUAGGUUCGGAAUAACUCCCCGAAAGGGGUGCUAAUACCGGAUAAUGUCUUCGGACCAAAGAUUUAUCGCCUUUGGAUGGGCCCGCGUUGGAUUAGCUAGUUGGUAGGGUAAAAGCCUACCAAGGCGACGAUCCAUAGCUGGUCUGAGAGGAUGAUCAGCCACACUGGGACGGGGACCAGGCCCAGACACUACGGGGAGGAGGGGGUGGGGAAUAUUGAGCAAGGGGCGAAGGCCGAACCCGGCAUUGCCGGGGGGGGAAGAAAGGCCUUGGGGUUGAAAACCUCUUUUCCCCGGGAGGAUAAGAAGGGACCCGGAGAAAAAGCCCCGGGCAAAUCCCUG
This 432-nucleotide ribosomal RNA is filed under the name uncultured bacterium. Its description in RNAcentral is "partial 16S ribosomal RNA". It matches the Rfam family "Bacterial small subunit ribosomal RNA", at positions 29 to 507 of the family's 1533-position model. The record is from RNAcentral.